GCAGCUUUUACCACAGCGGAGAAGUCCAGCGGCUUUAGGAAGAGAUCGCCAGCAGCCUUCGCCAUGAGAUUUAAUCUUGCUAAUCAUACGUACUCGCAUGAAUCAGGAGGUAAAAAAAAAGAAGAAGAAGAGGAAGAUGGAAUUAGGGCAUAUGUAGAAACCGUGAAAUAUUCAGAAAUUAAACCCAAAACGAAUUUUGUCAAUCGCUUCUUUUUUUUUUUUUUAACCUAGAGUACUUUACAGUGAGAGAGUAAUAAAAAUGAAAAAAAAAAAAAAGAGAAUACUGUACAUAUGUGGGGAGGUAGGUGGUAAAGUUAAUGAGUGUUUUUUUGAAGGACAAGUGCAUCGUCGUCAUCAUAUGUCAACUAUAUUUAGCCCCAGCCUUUUAGCUUCUGAACUGGUUUUGUAUUAGUCAACAGUUCUCUUUUCUCUAAUAUCUCCUUUUUAAUUAA
Capsella rubella is the source of this 452-nucleotide long non-coding RNA. RefSeq lists it as uncharacterized. Lineage: Eukaryota; Viridiplantae; Streptophyta; Magnoliopsida; Brassicales; Brassicaceae. The transcript has 2 exons. The record is from RefSeq and is a predicted model, not a curated record.